CUCUUAUCGCGAGCUGGCUGAGGGACUGGCCCUAUGAUGCCCGGCAACCGGCGCUCAUCUACCACGUUGUAGUGAGCGAAACGGUGCUAAUUCCAACGGAUAAGAGUCAAGCGCCUGUCUUGACUUCUUACCCGAGAGAUGAGAG
RNAcentral lists this non-coding RNA (145 nucleotides) under Brevibacillus panacihumi. Its description in RNAcentral is "SAM-I sequence". It matches the Rfam family "SAM riboswitch aptamer (S box leader)". From Rfam's summary of the family: The SAM riboswitch is found upstream of a number of genes which code for proteins involved in methionine or cysteine biosynthesis in Gram-positive bacteria. The SAM riboswitch acts at the level of transcription termination control. Lineage: Bacteria; Bacillati; Bacillota; Bacilli; Caryophanales; Paenibacillaceae. The record is from RNAcentral. RNAcentral also lists the same sequence under 1 other name.